GGGAGAACCGUAGUGCGCAGGCGUCCGGACCGGAACCGCAUCUCCGGCGGCGGGGAUUGGAGCGCGCGCAUUUCGUGGGGCGGCAGCCCGCGCCCGGGUGCUGACCUCCUGCCUCAGCGCCCCCUCCCCUACUACCCGCGGCCUAGCGGGGUAGCCUCGGGCGGCCAGGCUUGUUUCCUCCUCGGUGGGUGUAAGGUGCGGCUUGGCUGGUCCUGGCCUGAAUCCAGCGGAAGCGCACGCUGCUGAGCUGUCAGCGGAGGAAAAUGGGGCCUGGACCUGGAGAUAUGAGGGUCUGGAGAGAGGGGCCCCUUCCCUGGUGUCGUGUGGUGCGACCACUGGAGAGGGAGUUUCUCGCCCUCGUCGCGCCUGCCGCGCGGAGAGAUAAGGUCCUAGCACAGUAUCUGGCCAAUAUUAGGUUCUCACAAAUUGAGCAAAUAUGGAGGUGAAUUGAUGUGAAUAGCUCUAAUCCAUAGAGGUAAUACUGUACCUGGCCACAACCAAUGAAUCCAGUGGUACACACCUAAUAACAAGCUGAGCCAGUGAGAGAGUCUCUCCCAGCAAAGCAAAACUUGAAAGAUAAAGAGGCAGGAGGCCUUUGCAGGUGAGCAUAUUAAUGGCAACUCAACCCCUGCUUCUAAGG
RNAcentral lists this long non-coding RNA (640 nucleotides) under Pan troglodytes (chimpanzee). Its description in RNAcentral is "long non-coding RNA NONPTRT015102". Lineage: Eukaryota; Metazoa; Chordata; Mammalia; Primates; Hominidae. The record is from RNAcentral.